Molecule: long non-coding RNA, 336 nt
Organism: Oreochromis aureus
Lineage: Eukaryota; Metazoa; Chordata; Actinopteri; Cichliformes; Cichlidae
Source: Ensembl
AGGUGAGACGCUUUGCGCUGAUUGGUGCUGCUGGACCACACUGGAGGUGCGAGUCCGCCGUGUAAUGGUUUAUGCCAUUACAAAGGAGCUGGCCUCUGUACUCAACUGGGCAGGGGAAAAAAAACCAAGGACCAGACAAAGCAAAAAAGGGCAUUUAAAGAGACAGCGCUGUGCAGAUGCAUAUUUGAUGGCCUUGCGCAGCAGGUAGGGGCGAACUCUAUGUCUGAGUUGGUCUUUGCUCAAGCAGUCCAGAAAUGGCUCAGAUAUGCUCCAGAUCGUGCGGGUGGCGCGCGAGGACGCACAUCAUCCAUCCCCAUCCCGGAGUAAAUGAUAAAA